This is a non-coding RNA of Acanthosepion pharaonis, 108 nucleotides long. The record is from the annotation of a GenBank genome assembly. Lineage: Eukaryota; Metazoa; Mollusca; Cephalopoda; Sepiida; Sepiidae.
GCUAUAUCAUGUUGAAACACAAGUUCUCAUACGAUCACUGAAGUUAAGCAACUUCGAACAUGUUCAAUAUCUUGAUGGGUGACUUCUUGGGAAUACCAGGUGCUGUAA